AUUGAACGCUGGCGGAAUGCUUUACACAUGCAAGUCGAGCGGCAGCGCGGGGGCAACCCUGGCGGCGAGCGGCGAACGGGUGAGUAAUAUAUCGGAACGUACCCCGUCGUGGGGGAUAACACAGCGAAAGCUGUGCUAAUACCGCAUACGACCUGAGGGUGAAAGCGGGGGAUCGCAAGACCUCGCGCGAUGGGAGCGGCCGAUAUCGGAUUAGCUUGUUGGUGAGGUAAAGGCUCACCAAGGCGACGAUCCGUAGCUGGUCUGAGAGGACGACCAGCCACACUGGAACUGAGACACGGUCCAGACUCCUACGGGAGGCAGCAGUGGGGAAUUUUGGGACAAUGGGGGCAACCCUGAUCCAGCCAUUCCGCGUGAGUGAAGAAGGCC
This 387-nucleotide ribosomal RNA is filed under the name uncultured bacterium. Its description in RNAcentral is "bacterial SSU rRNA". It matches the Rfam family "Bacterial small subunit ribosomal RNA", at positions 29 to 416 of the family's 1533-position model. The record is from RNAcentral.